RNAcentral lists this long non-coding RNA (240 nucleotides) under Mus spicilegus (steppe mouse). Its description in RNAcentral is "lncRNA (ENSMSIG00000023730.1)". The record is from RNAcentral. Lineage: Eukaryota; Metazoa; Chordata; Mammalia; Rodentia; Muridae.
UAUCUUGAAAGUGAUUUAACACUAAGAAUUUUAACAGUGAUUGUUUUCUGAAUUUCUGGCUAGGUGUUCAACAUUCUGAGGCCAGGAACUGUUUCUGAAACACUCUACAGAGCUCAUAGAUGGGAGAAGUCUGGUGAGCACCCAGGGGAUCUAACUAGCAAGUGGGUUGAGUGAAAAACCUGCUUCAUAUGCUAAUCUGAGAAUUAGCACAGAGAGGCUAGACAGAAGUCCUACCCAACA